UGAAAGCAUCUAAGCGGGAAACUUGCCUCAAGAUGAGAUCUCACUGGAACCUUGAGUUCCCUGAAGGGCCGUCGAAGACUACGACGUUGAUAGGUUGGGUGUGUAAGCGCUGUGAGGCGUUGAGCUAACCAAUACUAAUUGCCCGUGAGGCUUGACCAUAUAACACCCAAGCAAUU
This 176-nucleotide ribosomal RNA is filed under the name Pseudomonas sp. MD195_PC81_125. Its description in RNAcentral is "partial 23S ribosomal RNA". It matches the Rfam family "Bacterial large subunit ribosomal RNA", at positions 2772 to 2925 of the family's 2925-position model. The record is from RNAcentral. Lineage: Bacteria; Pseudomonadati; Pseudomonadota; Gammaproteobacteria; Pseudomonadales; Pseudomonadaceae.